ACUUAUUUAGUAUAUUAGUAUUUUUGACUUCCAAUCAAAAGGUCUGGGUUACUCAGAAUAAGUA
This 64-nucleotide transfer RNA is filed under the name Siphlonurus sp. MT-2014. RNAcentral describes it as "tRNA-Gly". It matches the Rfam family "tRNA". Rfam says of the family: Transfer RNA (tRNA) molecules are approximately 80 nucleotides in length. The record is from RNAcentral. Lineage: Eukaryota; Metazoa; Arthropoda; Insecta; Ephemeroptera; Siphlonuridae.